Molecule: transfer RNA, 87 nt
Filed under: Burkholderiales bacterium RIFCSPHIGHO2_12_FULL_61_11
Lineage: Bacteria; Pseudomonadati; Pseudomonadota; Betaproteobacteria; Burkholderiales
Also listed under: 2 other names
Description: tRNA-Leu
Rfam family: tRNA
About the family: Transfer RNA (tRNA) molecules are approximately 80 nucleotides in length. Their secondary structure includes four short double-helical elements and three loops (D, anti-codon, and T loops). Further hydrogen bonds mediate the characteristic L-shaped molecular structure. tRNAs have two regions of fundamental functional importance: the anti-codon, which is responsible for specific mRNA codon recognition, and the 3' end, to which the tRNAs corresponding amino acid is attached (by aminoacyl-tRNA synthetases). tRNAs cope with the degeneracy of the genetic code in two manners: having more than one tRNA (with a specific anti-codon) for a particular amino acid; and 'wobble' base-pairing, i.e. permitting non-standard base-pairing at the 3rd anti-codon position.
Source: RNAcentral
GCGGGGGUGGCGUAAUCGGUAGCCGCACGGGACUUAAAAUCCCGGGACAGAAAUGUCGUACGGGUUCAAGUCCCGUCCCCCGCACCA